CACGUAGGGCGCAAGCGUUGUCCGGAAUUAUUGGGCGUAAAGAGCUCGUAGGCGGUCUGUUGCGUCCGCUGUGAAAACUCGGGGCUUAACCCCGAGCCUGCAGUGGAUACGGGCAGACUAGAGGUAGGUAGGGGAGAAUGGAAUUCCCGGUGUAGCGGUGAAAUGCGCAGAUAUCAGGAAGAACACCCGUGGCGAAGGCGGCUCUCUGGGACGGUACUGACGCUGAGGCGCGAAAGCUAGGGGAGCGAACAGG
RNAcentral lists this ribosomal RNA (253 nucleotides) under uncultured bacterium. RNAcentral describes it as "partial 16S ribosomal RNA". It matches the Rfam family "Bacterial small subunit ribosomal RNA", at positions 524 to 776 of the family's 1533-position model. The record is from RNAcentral.